CAGAAUACCUAGCACUCUCAAGCGACAGUGAGUGAUCACCAGGCCUGUCUCAGUGUUACCAAGUGCAUGCAUACCUGAACACUGAGCAGUCUAUCGUCAAAUCCAAAAUGGUGUUAUGGUUGGGAGAUUGACUCUAAAAGCAAGGAUAUAAGAGUUCAGUAUGAAUCGUUCGGAAAAAUAGAAGCCCUAAGUUACUGUCUCUCUGUUAAGAAGAUUAAAGUUUGAAUAAAUAAGGACGGUCAUGCCCUUGACUUUUUACUGUAAUAACCGAAUAUGACAACUGCAUGUAACAUUUAUAAUCCGGGUCGCCAUUUUGAUUGUAGGCCUGAGUGUCCACUUCUGUUCAAAACAGUUGAUAUCUUGUCACACAAGUACUUUUGUUAGCGGUCAGUAAACAUGUCCGAGAUUAAAGGUCAUGGUCACCAUUACUGUUCAAAACUGGUCUUUGUUAUCAGAGUAACUUAUUGGUGUUCUGGUGGAUCAAGCUUCAUCAGUUAAAUUUAUGAUAUUUUUGCCAAAUCUUUAAAAAAGAUUGUCAGGGAGAAUGUAUGCAUUUAAAGAUUGUCAGGGAGAAUGUUUGCAUUUAAAGUUUUAAGGACUCUGAAAAGUAGUUAUAGACCCCAUUUUCACGAACCAAUACUUAAAAAAAACAUCUUAACAUGUAACUGUUUGAUUUAAAUGAUCACAUAUGAUAUUGAAAAGUUUUACAGUACUGAAAAUUUGCCACAGAUUACAGAGUUAACAGAUUAAGGGAAGUUAUGGCCUAGGUAAGCACUAUUGACAAGACUAGGCAUGGGUUUUACUCUCUAACCAACCUGUACUUACCAGGAUGUUGUCUUAUUGUGAUGUAGUAAAGACAACUUAAUCAGCUGUGAUUAGUGGGCUCUGACAAUACUGGGAUGUUUUAUCAAACUAAUAAUGCUGAAAUCUGUGUCAAGAAGACAAAAUCAUGUCCUUUGAGUACCUGGAUUGUGUGAAAUUUCCAAGUUUAUGUAUGUUGUAGUGUUUGUAUAUUGAACACUUUUGUCUACUGUUGAUUGUAAUAUACUCUGGAAGCAUGGUUGGUUUCCAGGGUAAUCAAGGUAUCUAAAUUUGUUGUAUGUUAGUUUAUAAUUACACUCUCCUAUUUAUUAUAUUCCUGGUCACAUUUACAUAAAAAGAUUUGAUGUUUGUCUACUGUGAUUCAAAUUUCAGGUAUUGUUUUUAGUAAAAUAGUAUAUAAGUAUAUUCUACAUAUUCACUGCUACUGUUAUCACAUGCAGUACACAGAUAACUGGGGUGAUUUGGCACAAUAAAUGUAUUACACAUUUUAUAGAGGUGUUCUGUACAGUAAAUACGGUAACACUUUAUAGAGGUGUUCUGUACAGUAAAUACGGUAACGCUUUAUGGAGAUGUUCUGAACAGUAAAUACGGUAACACUUUAUAGAGAUGUUCUGUACAGUAAAUACGGUAACACUUUAUAGAGAUGUUAUGUACAGUAAAUACGGUUACACUUUAUAGAGGUGUUCUGUACAGUAAAUACGGUAACACUUUAUAGAGGUGUUCUGUACAGUAAAUACGGUAACACUUUAUAGAGGUGUUCUGUACAGUAAAUACGGUAGCACUUUAUAGAGGUGUUCUGUACAGUAAAUACGGUAACACUUUAUAGAGGUGUUCUGUACAGUAAAUACGGUAACACUUUAUAGAGGUGUUCUGUACAGUAAAUACGGUAACACUUUAUAGAGGUGUUCUGUACAGUAAAUACGGUAACACUUUAUAGAGGUGUUCUGUACAGUAAAUACGGUAACACUUUAUAGAGGUGUUCUGUACAGUAAAUACGGUAACACUUUAUAGAGGUGUUCUGUACAGUAAAUACGGUAACACUUUAUAGAGGUGUUCUGUCAGCUUUGAUGAUACAUUUUUUCAGAAACCCCCGAGUUUAAACACCUUCUUACAGAGUGAUGUACAAUAAUAAGGUAAUUGCAAAGUGAGACCGAUGUAAACAGUAAACAAUUUAAACAAAUUACCGUAAAUUCCUGUGGGAUGCACACUAAACACUGGCUCAUAGAAAUUCUGGGUCAUUAAAAUAAAGAUACAUUAGCCAAGUUGUUGGUUGAAUAGACUUGUUUAACUCUAACAAAUAUUUAUGGUCUGAACGAAUUAUACAAACAAUUCUGUAUCAUUCUUCCUGAGGAGUGAGCCCUCCACCUGUGGUCAUAACACUAUAUGUGAUUUGGUUGAUUGAUCAAAUAUAAAUCGGCAGUAAUGUCACAUUAAAACACUGAGGGAGAUAACUCUGUAAUACAUUACAGGGUGCCCUGGGUUAGUGUAGAAUCUCGGUCAUAUCAGCAGUAGAACUGUUUUAUUACAUGUUAAUAGAACUAUAAAGGGAAAUUAAGUUUGGAGGGAUGUUAGAAAAACAUAUGAUUUCAAUUAUUUGUUUUUUGUUGUCAAGGCAUUUAAAGUUGUUAUCUUUACAUCCGUCAUUGUUUUUGUUUUGAUUUUAAGGCAUUUAUGGAAUAAAAUUGUAGCAUUGAUGAAGUGUUGAUCUAUGUAGUAUUUUAGCAUUAUAGCUAUCUGUUUUUGUUUGAGGGACACACAAACCCUAAUUAGGGUCGAGGGACACACAAACCCUAAUUAGGGUCCAGGGACACACGAACCCUAAUUAGGGUCCAGGGACACACAAACCCUACUUAAUGAUCCACUGUAGUUUACCUUCAAACUGACCUUGUUAUAACCUUUCCUAUGGAGGGAGAUUUUACACUCUCAUGUUUCCAAAAAAAAUUCUUCAGACAAAAAAUUAUCAUCAAAUUCUCUUCAUAGAUGAAAAACAUUUUAAGGGUGCUUUAACAUAAUUGUGAGUUUCAUGACCAACAGACUUCACAUUUCCCCUUUAGGAAGAGGUGAAGUUAACUCUAGUUGUAUGUAGGAAGGAGACACAUAUUUUGUUGAUUUUCAGUUUGAAAAUAAUUGAAACUUGUAUGGGGUUAUAUGUAUAAGAUAAAGGUUUGAUGGUAUGAACAUUUUGAUGCUUUGCCCACUACAAGGACAAGGGGUGGGAUCCAGUGAUUAGAUUUUUGACUUAUUCACAGUGCUGUAUUUAGACAGCAUAUCAAGAGAUCUGGCUUUUUUUUUCAUGAAAAAAUUUCCAAGUCUGAUCACAUCAAACAAAAAAUUUUGUACAUCUGGUUGGCAAGGCUUGUUGUCCUCUUGUUUCUCAAUUUGAUUUAAUGUACUAAACUUUGACAUUUUGCAGCAACAUUUUGUCAAUUAAGUCUUAUAAUUUAAUUCAAAUUUUCUUAUUUAGUAUGACUCUAUUAACUUAUUUUUCUUCUGAUGUCUUCAAACUUAAUUUGUUUGCUGGAUGACCUUGAUGUACUUUCAAUGUCACAGGGUUCAAAUGUGUUAAAAUCUUUAAAAGACUUAUUCUUAAUAACAAAGAAGCCCAUGGUCAUGCUUUUUGUUCAGUUCAUUAGAAUGCAUGCUUAGGUCAAAAAUGAAGGCAAAGGUCAUUAGCUUGAAAGGUCAAAGUCAAAUUUUGUAUCAUUUCACUGAUUGUGAUAAACAUUUUGUUAUGACGUAAUGGACCAGAGUUGGUCAAAAUAAUAAAGUUUAAGGUCACUGGGUCAAAAAGGUCAAGGACAGAGGGUUAAUGGUCAAAGUCAAAUUUUGUAUAGUUUCACUGAUAAACAUUUUGUUAUGACAUUUGAGGGUAAAGUUGGUCAGAAUUAAACAAGGAGUGACCUUAUCAAAAUGAGUAUAAUACUGGUAUUUUUAUUUCUGGUAGCCCAGCAAAUGUGGAGGUGGAAAGAAAUGAGAUCAUAGAACAUCUAUAAAUAUGUCUAUUUUUCUUCAGCAACGAUAUGAGCAGACGAUAUGAGCAGACGGCUUCUUGUUGAUUAUGGGGGAUAUAUAUUAUAACCUUGUAUUACUUUCAAGGUUGCAAGAGUGAGAUUUGUUGAGUGUUGGUUUAAACAUGUUUAGUUAGCAACACAUCAUCUAUCAUAUAUAUCAAAGCUCAGGAUGACUGAUCAGGCCCAUGGGCCUCUUGUUUCACAAGGUAUGGGUUUAGUCCAUGUUGUAUUUUUAUCAAAUGAAUGCCAUAAUACUACAAUAUGAGUGUCUAACAGAACUUUUUUUAUUUAUGAAUAAAAUACUGCUUGAUGUAAAA
Long non-coding RNA from Pecten maximus, 4150 nucleotides. RefSeq lists it as uncharacterized. The record is from RefSeq and is a predicted model, not a curated record. The transcript has 2 exons. NCBI's taxonomy places the organism in Eukaryota, Metazoa, Mollusca, Bivalvia, Pectinida, Pectinidae.